UUGUAAAAGAGUAGGUUGGCUGGCCGAGAAGUUGGAUUGACUUUGUUUGCUAUGCUGUAGGGAAGAAGGAGUCAGUGCUGCAAGGAGCUGCCCGUGAGAAAUCACUAAGAAGGACUUCAGAUGAAAGAGAGCCAUCUACUGCUCUACAUGAGACAUGCUUCAGCCUGUCUUUUUAGACUGAUGAUUUGAAAUGUCAGGGUGGGAUUUAGGGAAGGAAAUGGAAACCUCUGCUGUUUUCCUCUUUAUGCUGUGGAGUCAAGUGACAAGGGAAGCAGGGCACUGAGCAGUGCUUUCCACCAGCUCCCCAGCCUAGCACAGAGCACAGCUGCAUCCAGCUAUGGAAGUAACCAGGGCAAAAGUGUUUGAAUACAAACAAUUGUCCCUUUUAGAAACAAAAAUAAAUAAAGUCUGAAAAUACUUCAAAUCCUCCAUCUCAGGAGGAUGCAUCACAAGUAUGAUACACUGGCAGAGCAGACCAACAACCAGCAGUGCCUGAUAGGUUGGACAGAGGCAAACCAUGCCUGUUUCCACACAACUACACACAAAGUCAACCUCCAGGGUGUCAGGAAUGACAUUCUUACCUGCUGUGACAAAGGCCCUGAAGCCCUGCAUCCUCCUUGUGUGAUGAGAAGAGUCUAUGGAGAGCUUGGGAUUCAGCUGUGGAUGGAAGUGAUCACCCUCGUGACCCUGUGCAUGCUGCACACAGUCCUGGCCAGACACCCCUACACU
Molecule: long non-coding RNA, 729 nt
Organism: Passer domesticus (house sparrow)
Lineage: Eukaryota; Metazoa; Chordata; Aves; Passeriformes; Passeridae
Exons: 3
Source: RefSeq, a predicted model, not a curated record